AUUGAACGCUGGCGGCAUGCCUUACACAUGCAAGUCGAACGGUAACAGGUCUUCGGAUGCUGACGAGUGGCGCACGGGUGAGUAAUACAUCGGAACGUGCCCGAUCGUGGGGGAUAACGGAGCGAAAGCUUUGCUAAUACCGCAUACGAUCUACGGAUGAAAGCAGGGGACCGCAAGGCCUUGCGCGGACGGAGCGGCCGAUGGCAGAUUAGGUAGUUGGUGGGAUAAAAGCUUACCAAGCCGACGAUCUGUAGCUGGUCUGAGAGGACGACCAGCCACACUGGGACUGAGACACGGCCCAGACUCCUACGGGAGGCAGCAGUGGGGAAUUUUGGACAAUGGGCGAAAGCCUGAUCCAGCCAUGCCGCGUGCAGGAUGAAGGCCUUCGGGUUGUAAACUGCUUUUGUACGGAACGAAAAGACUCUUUCUAAUAAAGAGGGUCCAUGACGGUACCGGAAGAAUAAGCACCGGCUAACUACGUG
RNAcentral lists this ribosomal RNA (482 nucleotides) under uncultured bacterium. RNAcentral describes it as "partial 16S ribosomal RNA". It matches the Rfam family "Bacterial small subunit ribosomal RNA", at positions 30 to 507 of the family's 1533-position model. The record is from RNAcentral.